UACGAAGGGGGCUAGCGUUGUUCGGAUUUACUGGGCGUAAAGCGCACGUAGGCGGAUUGGUCAGUUAGGGGUGAAAUCCUGGAGCUCAACUCCAGAACUGCCUUUAAUACUGCCAGUCUCGAGUCCGGAAGAGGUAAGUGGAGCUCCUAGUGUAGAGGUGGAAUUCGUAGAUAUUAGGAAGAACACCAGUGGCGAAGGCGGCUUACUGGUCCGGUACUGACGCUGAGGUGCGAAAGCGUGGGGAGCAAACAGG
This 253-nucleotide ribosomal RNA is filed under the name uncultured bacterium. RNAcentral describes it as "partial 16S ribosomal RNA". It matches the Rfam family "Bacterial small subunit ribosomal RNA", at positions 524 to 776 of the family's 1533-position model. The record is from RNAcentral.